RNAcentral lists this ribosomal RNA (1323 nucleotides) under metagenome. Its description in RNAcentral is "bacterial LSU rRNA". It matches the Rfam family "Bacterial large subunit ribosomal RNA", at positions 1561 to 2925 of the family's 2925-position model. The record is from RNAcentral.
AGUGGAUGGGGAGCAACCUAGUUGUGCGUGUGUAAAGGUAGUGCCAAGAAAAGCGAUGAUCAUGUUGAAAAUCAAUUCCCGGUACCCGAAACCGACACAGGUGGGCAAGUAGAGAAUACUAAGGGGCGCGAGGUAACUCUCUCCAAGGAACUCGGCAAAAUGACCCCGUAACUUAGGGAGAAGGGGUGCCACCGAGAGGUGGUCGCAGUGAAGAGGCCCAGGCGACUGUUUAGCAAAAACAUAGGUCUCUGCAAACUCGAAAGAGGAGGUAUAGGGGCUGACGCCUGCCCAGUGCCGGAAGGUUAAAGAAGUUGGUCAGUUUUAGGAUGAAGCUAGCGACUGAAGCCCCGGUGAACGGCGGCCGUAACUAUAACGGUCCUAAGGUAGCGAAAUUCCUUGUCGGGUAAGUUCCGACCCGCACGAAAGGCGUAACGAUCUGGGCGCUGUCUCGGAGAGAGGCUCGGCGAAAUAGGAUUGUCUGUGAAGAUACGGACUACCUGCAUUUGGACAGAAAGACCCUAUGAAGCUUUACUAUAGCUUGGAAUUGUGUUCGGGCUUCCUGUGCGCAGGAUAGGUGGGAGGCGUAGAAGGUAUCCUUGUGGGGAUACUGGAGCCAACGGUGAGAUACCACUCUCAGGAGGCUAGAAUUCUAACUUAAUUAAGGACAGUUUCAGGUGGGUAGUUUGACUGGGGCGGUCGCCUCCAAAAAGGUAACGGAGGCGUACAAAGGUUCCCUCAGACUGGUUGGAAAUCAGUCGAAGAGUGCAAAGGCAGAAGGGAGCUUGACUGCGAGAAGUACAGUUCGAGCAGGGUGGAAACACGGUCUUAGUGAUCCGACGGUGCUGUGUGGAAGGGCCGUCGCUCAACGGAUAAAAGUUACUCUAGGAUAACAGGCUGAUCUCCCCCAAGAGUUCACAUCGACGGGGAGGUUUGGCACCUCGAUGUCGGCUCAUCGCAACCUGGGGCGGAAGUACGUCCCAAGGGUUGGGCUGUUCGCCCAUUAAAGCGGUACGUGAGCUGGGUUCAGAACGUCGUGAGACAGUUCGGUCCAUAUCCGAUGUAGGCGUGAGAAUAUUGAGAGGAGCCUUCCUUAGUACGAGAGGACCGGGAAGGACGCACCGCUGGUGUACCUGUUAUGAUGCCAAUUGUAAACGCAGGGUAGCCAAGUGCGGAGAGGAUAACCGCUGAAAGCAUCUAAGUGGGAAGCCCACCUCAAGAUGAGUAUUCUGUGUAAGGUCACGGGAAGACGACCCGUAAAUAGGCACGAGGUGGAAGUGCAGAGAUGUAUGAAGCCGAAGUGUACUAAUAGACCGUCGGCUUGAC